ACUUGUAACUUUUUUAAUAAAGCAUUUGAUUUGAAAUCAGAUUGAUUGUUUUUAAUAACAAUAUAAGUU
Molecule: transfer RNA, 69 nt
Filed under: Caulobothrium sp. LRP 10376
Lineage: Eukaryota; Metazoa; Platyhelminthes; Cestoda; Tetraphyllidea
Description: tRNA-Ser
Source: RNAcentral